Molecule: ribosomal RNA, 262 nt
Filed under: uncultured archaeon
Lineage: Archaea
Description: partial 16S ribosomal RNA
Rfam family: Archaeal small subunit ribosomal RNA
Source: RNAcentral
CAGCCGUAAACUAAUGCUCGCUAGGUGUCAGGCAUGGCGCGACCGUGUCUGGUGCCGCAGGGAAGCCGUGAAGCGAGCCACCUGGGAAGUACGGCCGCAAGGCUGAACUUAAAGGAAUUGGCGGGGGGAGCACAACAACGGGUGGAGCCUGCGGUUUAAUUGGACUCAACGCCGGACAACUCACCGGGAACGACAGCAAUAUGUAGGCCAGGCUGAAGACCUUGCCUGAAUCGCUGAGAGGUGGUGCAUGGCGUAGACGUCU